RNAcentral lists this transfer RNA (73 nucleotides) under Neobacillus bataviensis LMG 21833. Its description in RNAcentral is "Bacillus bataviensis LMG 21833 tRNA". It matches the Rfam family "tRNA". From Rfam's summary of the family: Transfer RNA (tRNA) molecules are approximately 80 nucleotides in length. RNAcentral also lists the same sequence under 7 other names. The record is from Rfam by way of RNAcentral. Lineage: Bacteria; Bacillati; Bacillota; Bacilli; Caryophanales; Bacillaceae.
GGGGGCUUAGCUCAGCUGGGAGAGUGCUUGCAUGGCAUGCAAGAGGUCAGGGGUUCGAUCCCCCUAGUCUCCA